GUUCAUAAACACAGCCCAAUGACCCAUACCCGUUGCUUUCAAUAGUGUGUGUAUAUAAUAUUUGGCGCUUCCUUACGGAAAUCGCGCAAUUCCAUCAGCGUUUCAAUUUCCGUACCGCCAUGGGAGCCUCACGCUCUGGGGACUCCGGCUCCAAUUCAAAACGAACAUCUACUUCUAAUCGGAGUAAUCAAAGCAACAGCAAGAAGAAGAAAACAAGCAGUCAAAAUACCCUAGGCAUGGCUUGGGGUGCCAAUUCUCGCUCUGCUUCUCGUCCCUCUUUCAACAGUUCACCUUUCUCCGAUUUCGGCAGUUACAUGGCCGUGAAGAAUCAGAAGCUUCAUGAGCAGUUUGUGGCGGAGGCAUCAAGCACUUCUCUCAGUGGUUCAAGUUCUUCAAAACCUAUAUUUCUGGGUGUUUCCAUUUUUGUUGAUGGAUAUACGGUUCCGUCCAGUCAGGAACUUCGAGGAUAUAUGUUGAAGCAUGGAGGCCGUUUUGAGAAUUAUUUUUCUAGGCGUCGUGUUACUCAUAUAAUCUGUAGUAAUCUUCCUGACAGUAAGCUGAAGAAUUUAAGGUCCUUUAGCAAGGGACUUCCAGUAGUCAAACCCACAUGGGUAUUGGAUUCUGUCGCUGCGAAUAAGCUUCUGAAUUGGGUUCCUUAUCAGCUUGAUCAGCUUGCUAGUGAAGUUAAUAACCAGCCUAAGUUAUCUGCUUUCUUUACAAAAAACAUUGCUAUUUCUGACAAUACAACAACAUCUUCAACAGUCCAAGCUACAUCUAGGGUUGGGAGCCCAUUGUCAUAUUCUGGAUCAUUUGAAGAUCCUAUAUCCUUUGAAGAGUUGCAAUCUGCAGAAGAUUUGGAGCCUUGUGCUCUAGAGUCUAAAGAUCUAAUGCAAGCAAGCUACAAUGUAGAUAGAGCUGAAGACUCAAAUGGUAGCAUGGCAAUGCAAGAACUGAGUGAUGCUGCCAGUGGAGAUGGAAGCCAUGCUCCAUUUCCAGCACCUUCCAGUCCUCGUAAUGAGGCAUCAGCUUGUAGAGACUGGAUGAGUGAUCCUGUUAACACGGGGCCAUCAAAUCUAAAGAUUCCUAGGUCUCCUAACCAGCGACAUUCAACUCUAGUUGAUGCUAAUUUUGUGGAAAAUUACUUUAAGCAUUCUAGGUUGCAUUUCAUUGGCACCUGGAGAAACCGAUAUCGUAAACGAUUUCCUAGCUCCCCUGGUGGGUUUAGAUGCACAAGUUCAGGUCCUAGUUCUUCCGCCACAGCGAAUAAGACGAUCAUUAUUCAUGUGGAUAUGGAUUGUUUUUUUGUGUCUGUGGUCAUUAGAAAUCGGCCCGAGUUGAAAGAUAAACCUGUUGCCAUUUGCCAUUCAGAUAAUCCACGGGGAACAGCAGAAAUAUCGUCUGCGAAUUAUCCUGCUAGGGGUUAUGGAGUAAAGGCUGGAAUGUUUGUCAGAGAUGCCAAGUCACGUUGCCCUCACCUAGUCAUUCUUUCUUACGACUUCGAGGCUUAUGAGGAGGUUGCUGAUCGAUUUUAUAACAUCUUGCACAAGUACUGCAACAAAGUGCAGGCUGUAAGUUGUGAUGAAGCAUUUUUAGAUGCUACUGAUUCUGGAGUAGAGGACAUUCAAGCUUUUGUCUCAGUGAUCAGAGAGGAGAUUCUUGAUGUGACAGGCUGUACUGCUAGUGCUGGUAUCGCCGGGAAUAUGCUUAUGGCACGUCUUGCUACUAGGAUUGCAAAACCAGAUGGGCAAUGUUACAUCCCUGCUGAGAAGGUGGAGGAGCACCUGUGUGAACUUCCAGUAAAAGCACUUCCGGGAAUCGGUUACGUCUUGGAAGAAAAGUUGAACAGGAGACAAAUCACAACUUGUGGGCAGCUGCGUAUGAUCUCCAAGGAAACUCUUCAGAAGGACUUUGGUUCUAAAACUGGCAGUAUGCUAUGGAACUAUAGUAGAGGGAUAGAUGAUCGGUUGGUUGGCAUGAUGCAGGAAAGCAAAUCCAUAGGCGCAGAUGUUAACUGGGGCGUGAGGUUCAAGGAUCUGAAAGAUGUACAACAUUUUCUGUUAAACCUUUGCAAGGAGGUUUCAUUACGUUUGCAGGGGUGUGGAGUGAUAGGGAGGAAGUUUACCUUGAAGAUAAAGAAAAGGAGGGGUGAUGCAGGGGAGCCAGUAAAGUAUUUGGGCUGUGGUGUUUGUGAUAACUUGAGCCAUUCUGUCACGGUGCCAAUGGCUACAGACAGUGUUGAUGUGCUUGAGAGAAUCGUUUCACAGCUUUUUACAACUUCACACGUGGAUGUGGAGGACAUACGAGGAAUGGGAUUGCAGGUCUCAAAGCUUGAAACUGCAGACAGUUCCAAGCAAGGGAAAGAGAGUUACUCCAUCAAAUCUUGGCUCACUGCUGCCUCUGCUAAGACCAAUAACCAAGACAGAUGCAGUAGUCAUGAGAAAGGUGCUGAUGCAGAUAACGGUAAACACCGCGUUUUUGAACACCAGGCUCAGUUGCAGGGUGCUUCAAGUAUGCCUUUCGUUGAAAUGACUACAGUGUCACCCUCCGGUACUACAGGUUUUGGACACAGCGGAACUCUUCCUCCUAUGAACGAGCUUGAUAUAGGAGUUAUAGAGUCUCUUCCUCUUGAGUUUUUUUCAGAAAUUAAUGACAUGUAUGAUGGAAAAUUGGUUCACUUUGUUACUGAAAAGAGAGGCAAAGGUGUAUCAGAAAAAGAAAACAUAUCUGCUGUUUGCCCUGCUGCACCACUUGAAGCUUUUGCUGCUCAUGAGGAGCAGCAGUAUAAUGAAGAGGAAAUUCAAGUGGUCUCUUAUCCUAAUAAGCUUUUUUCUGAUAUGAAAAGUGAGCCACUGUCUGAUGCUAGUGUACCAAAUAUGGACGUGGUUAUUACUGCUCCUGUCUCAGGAGGCAUCAGUCUAAUGCCCUCUUCUCUUAGUCAAGUAGACACCUCUGUUUUUCAAGAAUUGCCUGAGGAGUUGAGGACAGAUAUACUUGAACUCAUUCCUGCACACAGGAACGAUGAAUCUUCACUAAAUGCUUCCUUGGUCGGUGCUAAUAAUCAGAACAGUAGUCCUUCCAUUUCAAGCUUUAAUUUGUGGGUUGGAAAUCCACCAGAAUGGAUUGACAUAUUCAAGGCCAGCAAAUGUCAGAUUUUGUGCAUUUUGGCAGAGAUGUAUCAAAGAACAGGGACAAAGAAACAGUUAUCUUCUGUAUUGCAGAGGACUAUGUCUCAGAUUUAUAUUCUCCCUGAUGUCGGCAUUGACGGAUGGGCUGAGGCUGUUAGUUUCUUAUGCGAGCUUAUCAAGCAGUAUCUAAAAUUAAAAGUUUCAAGCGAUAUUGAAGAGGUUUACAUUUGUUCUUGCCUUUUAAGAAGGUUAACUGCAAGGUCAAAAGUUUUCUUAGAAGCUUACAACAACUUGCUUCCCCAUAUUCAGGCAUCAGUUAGUGAGAACUAUGGUGGCAGCUUUUGCAUAGCUUCUGUGACGGAGUAAUGUGUGGCAAGCCUUAAAAAGUUUCAGGUGCUCCAUGUAUACAAGUUCCAUACUGUAUGCUCACUUGCUCUACUUAUAAAUUGGUAUCGAUGCAAAGGGCCUCUGGUACAAGAGAACUCAGACCUGGUCUAACAGAAGAUCAUGUGAAUUUUUUGAUAGUACCACAUGAUGUUAGAAGAGCCCUAGAAUAUUUGACGUCCCGUCUCCCAAAUAUAGUGCCUUUGGUUAUGCAUGCGAUUUCUUCAUUCUACACUAGCAAUCUUGCUUUGAGUUUCCUGGAACUGGAAAAUGACUAGUUUUUCUUAUUAAAAGUGUGAAUACUUUAUAUGCUAAAAAUGAAGUUGAUCUGGAUCCUUAUGAACCACAAAGAGUCUUUAUGGGUGAAAUGGAUCCAUGGUAUUUAUAUGAAAACAAUUGAUGACAUGUACCACCUAUUGAUUGUAGUUGGUAUUGGAAGAAGCUCAACAAAAUGAAAAUGGGUAUGGCUAGUUGGUAUAGCAAUGACGGUUACAUGCUCACUUCAUCUGUAAAAUACUCUGCUACUAUGAGUUACCUGACUAUGUUAGGGGCAGAUUCAAAUUUGGUCAUCACUGAUCUUGUUUGGGCUAAGAUUUUGCAGCCUAAAUAUAGGUUCAUACUAUGGUUGCUAUGCAUAAGAAGAAGUUAAUUAAAGGAAGAUCGAUUGGAAUGGCGAUACCUUGUGAAAAUCCAUUUUGUGUCAUAUGUGCACAGAACGUCAUGGAGGACUUUAGUCACCUCUUUCUUACUUGUGAAUGGCUAACUACAAUUCGGAGGGGAAGGUGUUCAAUUGGCCAGGGAUACAUAUGCCACAAGCUGAGACAGUAGAAUGUUUGCAAUGCAUGAGAAAGAGAUAUUGGAGCAGAUUCAAAAAAGAAACUGUGCAGCAACUUAUGGGUGCAAUGAUCUAUUAUUUCUGCCAAUCACGGAAUUGGAAGAUUUUCAGAGAAUGCUGUGCAGCAAAUGCAGGACAUUAAGUUCAACAUUAUGGAGAGAAUACAAAUGUUUAGAGAGUCGAAAUAGGUAUAACAUGAAUCUGCCAACAAGAGGAACGUGUGAAAAAAGGCCUAAGGUCGAGGGAAUAUCAAAAUUCAUAAUUGUCGAUCAGACACCCCUGCUUUUGCGACAAUGGUGGAAUGAAAUGGAGGGGCAUGACUAUAGAGGAUAGUGAAAAACUAUUUGGUACAUCUUGUGCAUAGAUAUCAAUCGCAGAAGAGAUGUAAUUGAGGCAUUGAUUGAUGCUUGGGAUCACCAUAACAAUGUAUUUUGAUUUACAAACUUCAAGAUAACCCCGACUUUAGAGGAAUUAGCAAUCUUCAUGGGGUAGGAUCCAAUCGUCGAGGUUCUUUAUCUUCGAAACAAGAGACCUAUAGUCCCUAAGAACGUGGAUGGUAUUCAGUUUUUGAAGUUAUUGAAAAUCAAUCAGAUGAAAAUAGAAAGUUUAGAUGGAGGUUGGAUUUCCUUGAAAGUUUUAUUUGAUAGGUUUGAUCGAGAGGAAGGAUUUGAGAAGUAUCAAGGUCAAUUGAACAACAAAGAGGACCGACAAAAAUGGAAGGAAUGCAACCGCUUUGCUUUCAUGGUUGCAUUCCUGGGACGUUUAGUUUUUCUGGAGCGCGAUGGUAACAUUGAUAUCCGUUUGGCUGGAGUAGUGCAAGCGUUAACUACAAUGGAUAUCCCCACUCUUGUACCCAUUAUUCUUGGAGACAUCUUUCGCGCACUAACCAAGUGCAAAAAGGGUGUCAAAUACUUUGAAGGGUGCAAUUGUUUUUGCAAAUAUGGUUCCUGGGGCAUUUUUAUUUUCAUCCUUAUGCACCACGACAGAGUGACUGGUUAGAUCGUGCAUAUUCUCACAAGGAAAGGGCCAUUAAAAGUAAAGUCCCAAUUGGGAUCAAGGCUUGGAAGGAGAAAGGUCUCUAAGCUGACUGACAAUCAGAUUAUUUGGACCUAUUUGUUUCCAACACAAGAUAUCAUUUGCAUGUCCUCAUACCAUUCUUAUUUCGUGUCGAUUGGUCUUAGGGGUCCAACCUUUUGUGCCACUUCUAGUAACGCACCAAUUGGGUUGACUUCAGGAGAUUCCUCGAAUAAGGAACAUGGGUGAAUUCAUGUAUGAUACUCUAGGUUUUCCUUUUGAUAGCAACGAGAUACUAAAUUUUUGGUAUGAGAGUAUAAUAUUUGAGUCGAGUAAAAUGGUAGAAGAUCUUGAUAAAGGAAAAUUGGUUCCUGGGUACCUUCUAUGAUUGUAUAAUGCUUCCCCAUCUGAAGAUGGACCUGUGAGUUCGGGGAAAAGAAAAUGGGAUAGAGAAUCAGAGGUUCGAGCCAAGCCAGACAAGCCCGUCUUGAGGUGGAACAUGAGUUUCAAAAAAGGUUGGACGUGCAGCAAGUUGAAUAUGAUGCAAGAAUCACCCGGACUCGGAAAGAGAUGGAAAGGGACCAUCAGUUAGCUCUACAAGUUGUGAAGGAAGAUUUUAGACGCGUCAAGAUAAAAAAAGGGUCAAUUAGAGAAAGAGUUAGGAAGCAGAAAUGAGUCAGCGCAACAAAGGGUUGAAGGAUACAGGAGAUUCGAGUUUUGUAAGAAGAUUUGGAUAUCAUCGAUUGAUUUUCAAGGAAAUCCAACCUUCCUCCAAACUUUCUAUUUUCAUCUGAUUGAUUUUCAGUAACUUCAAAACUUAAUACCAUUCACGCUCUUAGGGACUAUAGGUCACUUGUUUCGAGGAUAAGAUCCUCGGCGAUUGGAUCCUACCCCCAUGAAGAUUGCUAAUUUAUCUAGAGUUGGGGUCAUAUCGAAGUUUGAGAAACGGAUCACAUUGUUAUGGUGAUCCCAAGCAUCAAUCAAUGUCUCAAUUACAUCUCUUCUGGGAUUGAUCUCCAUCAUAUGCACAAGAUGUAUCUUGAAGGACCUAGAUCUCUCUUUUAACUUUUAUGAGAUUUUUCCUGAUUUCUGAAGUUGUAAGGUACUGCUUUUCUUGUUUUUGUAUCGUAAACUAAGACGUGAUAGAGGGUUAUUUCUAAUCCACUUCCCAUUUGUCAUUUAUUUUCACGUGUCAUUUUUCGGAAUAAAUCUCUUCUUACUGAACAGAGUAUGUGUUGAUUUUUCGUGUUAUGAAAAUUGAGAGGAUUUUGGAUUUUGUGUUUUGUCAGGUUGGCUGGACACAGGUAGAUAAUUUCUUUGGUCUACCAGGUAGAAACUUGUUUACAUGAAAAACUGUGGACGUAAUUGAAGCAUAUAUUCGAGGGUCAGCCAGCACUUGGUCUGACCAUGAAAAUUGAAGCAUAACUGCUCGUGCUCAUACUGCUCUACUCACGUUUUGCCAUUGGAUUUUUCAAACAACAUGUUGGACUAUUGACCCAGUUAACAGUUGAAAACGUACUGUUGCAUUUUGAUUUAAUUACUUGUGGCGAGAAGAGGUUGAGCUGGAAUUUCAAGCUUUUGGAUUUUGCAAUGUUAAGUUAAAGCACGAUUUCAAGUGUAAAUAACUGGGAUUUAACUUUAGUAGGCGUUUGACCAUGUAAAUUAAAAUUUUUUGGAGUUGGAGUUGUGUUUCGUCAUAUUUUUUAGGAAA
RNA transcript from Capsicum annuum, 7069 nucleotides. It is a transcript of the gene named DNA repair protein REV1, with no coding region annotated. The record is from RefSeq and is a predicted model, not a curated record. The transcript is spliced from 24 exons. NCBI's taxonomy places the organism in Eukaryota, Viridiplantae, Streptophyta, Magnoliopsida, Solanales, Solanaceae.